UGGGGAAUAUUGGACAAUGGGCGCAAGCCUGAUCCAGCCAUGCCGCGUGAGUGAUGAAGGCCCUAGGGUUGUAAAGCUCUUUCACCGGUGAAGAUAAUGACGGUAACCGGAGAAGAAGCCCCGGCUAACUUCGUGCCAGCAGCCGCGGUAAUACGAAGGGGGCUAGCGUUGUUCGGAUUUACUGGGCGUAAAGCGCACGUAGGCGGACUUUUAAGUCAGGGGUGAAAACCCGGGGCUCAACCCCGGAACUGCCUUUGAUACUGGAAGUCUUGAGUAUGGUAGAGGUGAGUGGAAUUCCGAGUGUAGAGGUGAAAUUCGUAGAUAUUCGGAGGAACACCAGUGGCGAAGGCGGCUCACUGGACCAUUACUGACGCUGAGGUGCGAAAGCGUGGGGAGCAAACAGG
RNAcentral lists this ribosomal RNA (404 nucleotides) under Actinomycetes bacterium. Its description in RNAcentral is "Actinobacteria bacterium partial 16S ribosomal RNA". It matches the Rfam family "Bacterial small subunit ribosomal RNA", at positions 355 to 776 of the family's 1533-position model. Lineage: Bacteria; Bacillati; Actinomycetota; Actinomycetes. The record is from RNAcentral.